Long non-coding RNA from Oreochromis aureus, 474 nucleotides. Lineage: Eukaryota; Metazoa; Chordata; Actinopteri; Cichliformes; Cichlidae. The record is from Ensembl.
CUUGGAACCUUAGCAAGGUGGAGGAACGUCUUUCCAAGUACGCAGCUCUCACCCUAACUUCAAAAGGCAAUGAAAUUUAAGACAUCUAGCAGCACUACAGUGAUUCAGCAGUUUGAGACCGGUGGUCUAUUGGGGGCUCUGUGCCAACAGCUGAAAGACAACACUGGUGAGAAAGCAGCUCUGGCACAGCCACUGUAUCAGCAGAGGAGACCACCCGCCUCAGCCAGACCGCCCGCUCUCAUACGAACAGCAUGCCUUUGUCCUGUCUCCCUCCAUUCAUCCCCAACCGGUCAUAGGAGACAGCUUCCCCUCCCUGGACCUGUUAAAAGGAAGUUUUUACCUUCCCACUAUCAGCAAAGUGCUUGUUCAUAGGAGGACAUCUUUUAGGGUUCCUCUUUUUUCUCUAUUUUAUAUUUGGUUCUUCACCUUACAAUGUAAAGCCUCUUGAAGCAAGUGUUGCUGAGACUUGGCGCC